Molecule: ribosomal RNA, 489 nt
Filed under: Meyerozyma caribbica
Lineage: Eukaryota; Fungi; Ascomycota; Pichiomycetes; Serinales; Debaryomycetaceae
Description: partial large subunit ribosomal RNA
Rfam family: Eukaryotic large subunit ribosomal RNA
Source: RNAcentral
UGAAGAUUGUAACCUUGGGGUUGGCUCUUGUCUAUGUUUCUUGGAACAGGACGUCACAGAGGGUGAGAAUCCCGUGCGAUGAGAUGCCCAAUCCUAUGUAAGGUGCUUUCGAAGAGUCGAGUUGUUUGGGAAUGCAGCUCUAAGUGGGUGGUAAAUUCCAUCUAAAGCUAAAUAUUGGCGAGAGACCGAUAGCGAACAAGUACAGUGAUGGAAAGAUGAAAAGAACUUUGAAAAGAGAGUGAAAAAGUACGUGAAAUUGUUGAAAGGGAAGGGUUUGAGAUCAGACUCGAUAUUUUGUGAGCCUUGCCUUCGUGGCGGGGUGACCCGCAGCUUAUCGGGCCAGCAUCGGUUUGGGCGGUAGGAUAAUGGCGUAGGAAUGUGACUUUGCUUCGGUGAAGUGUUAUAGCCUGCGUUGAUGCUGCCUGCCUAGACCGAGGACUGCGAUUUUAUCAAGGAUGCUGGCAUAAUGAUCCCAAACCGCCCGUCUUG